Molecule: non-coding RNA, 70 nt
Organism: Phrynosoma platyrhinos (Desert horned lizard)
Lineage: Eukaryota; Metazoa; Chordata; Lepidosauria; Squamata; Phrynosomatidae
Source: the annotation of a GenBank genome assembly
GUGUGUGGUGUAAUGGUUUGAGCAUUGGAUUACAACUGUAGAGGCCAGGGUUCGAAUCCCAGCUCAGCCA